GGUACAUAUCACCAAUAUGGGAACACUGGAGUAAUAAAACCUGGCACAAAUACUUUAUACAAUAUGCUGGCCAGGGUUGUGCUCAGUCAGUCAACUGAAUUCCCAACAUUUUAAAAACUUUUAUAUGUAUUUCAGUUAAUUCAAAUUCAACACAACCCUGGUAUUGGCAUUAAGUUAAUUCAAGGGCAUUGAGUUCACUUAAACCACACCACAUUCACACACCCUUUCUCAGCCUUUUGAUGAUAACAAAACACAAGAGAUGGAUUUGAAGUUAUUUAUUUGAAAUGCUUUUCCCAUUUCAAUGCAGCUGACCAGCAGACACAGUCAACGAUGAACUGAAGUCAUUUCUGGAUCACCUUGUAAUCGGCUGCAGACCAACACACCAUGUAUAAAAAUGCAACGUUAAAAUAUUGUUCCCACAACUAAAAAAAAAAAAAAAAAAAUUAUACAUGAAUUAGUCCUGCAAAAAUAGGAAGUACCAUGUGUACAAAGAAAGCGUACAUCGAGAAGCACCAGAACUGCCCAUUUACCCUCUCUGGAACAGUUAUCGGACUGACUGCAGGCAUCGUUCCCAAAUGUACCUAGAAUUCUUCCUCUGGCCUCAAAGAUCAACGCUCUGAGCAUUUAAUGGUUCUAGAAUUUUCCACCAGGAAGGAAUCUAAAGUUAGUUCUGUCCGUUGACCGGUAAGGACCAUCAAGUGCUCUGAUUGGAAUACAAUUUUUCUUAAUGGAAUUGGUGUUGAUGAGUGGAUUCAGAUGUCAAUCACAAACUGGGCUUCAUCAGCUGAAGGGACAAAAGGAAGAACAGGUCAGUUCAAAGGUAUCCUGAACUUCAAAAGAAACUAAAGUGCGCAUAGUGAUAAGAGGUCAUUCUGAGCAUGUGCAAGACAAAGCAUGAGGCCAGUAUGACAUAUUGGACAUGUUUCUGUUUUUUUUUCUUUUGAAGUGGUUCACCUUGAAACAUAUCUACUAGUGCUACUGGUAAAAAAAUAAAUAUAAAAAACAACUCAACACACAGUUUGGCACUAGGGGUGUGGACCUAUGCACUGGUGUUGAAAUCAACGCGUUAGCCCCACUAGAACCCCCGGGAGAGAUCUGAUCCGUAGCUUAUUCAUGGACAAUAUUACUCAUGCUUAAACUACGAGUCUGGAGCGAUACACUGGACCUAUACACUAGGGUUUUUCGUAGCCUAUUCACUAGGUGAAAAUGUUUAGUAUUUUUCCAAAAACUCCUCUUGGUGUUAGGCCUUGUGGAUCUUUUUAUAAGUUCAUCUGGAUGCCUUUUCCAUUAUUCAUUAAGUGUAAUUGUUCUUUAUGUACACUUAUUUUUGUAUUUGUACAGUAAUGGUUACAGAAUCUCUGUACCUCCAUACACUCUUUGAGGGUAAUUCAUUUGCCAAAAAAAAAUAAAAAUAACACAUUAAACAAAGUUGAAGAUGAAUUUGACAGACAGCAUUUUUUUGCUUCAAAUUAUCUAUAGAUACCGCGAUAAUAUCGUUACCGUGAAUUAUUUUGGCCACAAUAAUCAUGUAGUGAAAAUUUGAUAUCAUGACACUCUCAGGUGUCGUCAGGGAUGGUGAACAAAGUGCCUGGUUAUUUUAAGUGUACAUGCUCUUCCUUCAAGCUUACACUGUACCUAUAAAAACCUGCUCCAUUUAAGAAUGUUUAUGUCAUCAUCGCAUGCAAGUUUCAUGUGCUGCUAUUUUGGCCAAGUCCCUCUUGGGAAAUAUAUUGUAAUCUUAAAUGAGACUCAGUAUGGUUAAAUAAGAUUAGGGUUAGGGUUAGAAUGUACAAAUGCAGUGACCAGGCCCACCAGAGAUUUCUUUGUUCUCAUCCAUCUCCUUCAGCUUGCCCAGAGGGUGUCCUGCCGGCACUGUGACCCCGGGGAUAUGGGGUAGGCAGCUCGGGGGGGUACGUGCAACGGGCGAAUUCCGACACUCCAGCAGGAAUUUCCUGUCAUAGAUGAUUCUGGUUCCUUUGAAGAGAAAAGGGCUUAAGGUUUCCGUUUCAGGCAAAGAACAAUGAUAUUAGUAACAGAUUUGACUAAAAUCACAAGGUGCAACAGUGAGUUUCAAAUCUUCUGACACCUGAAGAACAGUCAGGCCUGUGAGUCUUGCGCCAAAUAUUUGUUUAAGGUGUGUAAGUACCAGCUACAGAAGGUCUGUCUGUACUUUCAGGGUUAACUUUCAUUCCUGUACUUAUUUUGAACUCGCUGUGCCAGGAUCAUAAAGGCAGGGAAAACAUGUUAUGUAACUCGACUUAAGACUACAGCAUGUCCUGGAUCCAGACGGAAGAAGUCAGAAGGCUGACACUGCACUACAAAGAACCACUGGAAUCCAAAUAUAAGAGCUGACAUUCCUCUGAUCCUGUAAUAGGAUGCAUAUUAUCUGGGUCUCCAACCCUCCUCCUGGAGAGCAACAGUCCUGGUUGUUUUCACUCCAACCCCAUGCAUAUGCAGCCUCAUUCAGUUAUUAGCUGAAUAAUUAUUAGAAACCAGGGUGCUAAAUCAGGUUUGGAGUGAAACCAACCACCACUGUAGCUCUCCAGGAGCAGAGUUGGAGACAGUGCAUUUCAUGUCACGUGCAGAUAACAGGUCUCAGACCUAUUUAGUCUGUCAAUAAAAGUCCCCAUAUUUUCCAGGUUAUUGCUUUCGCAUACUCUUCAACCACCGUUCUUAUAACAGGGCCACAGCAAUUCCAACAUUUUAACGAGAAUCAACAGCCCCUUUCCCAGCAACUCCACCCAGGCUCCCACUUCCUAGGGGCCGCAGAUUUAAUGAGUCAAAAUUAUGCUCCUCACAUGCUCUACUCACAUUCCGACAUGUUCACAAACAACAACGGAUUUGGACAGAAUCAAACCUGUUAUUGCUGUAUUUCAACAACAAACAAAAUCUUGGAAUAGCAAAACGCUAAUUAUGUUAACGUUGAUUGUAAUUAAAAGGUUACAGUAGGCUACAUAGGUUUGUCCAAAACAGAACUUUAAAAGUAUCACAUUUAUUUUUAAAGCCCCUUUUACGACAGCAGUUGUCAUAGUAAGUGCUUUAACAAAACACCCAGCCUGAAACCCCAAGGAGCAAACAACAACCGUGUUGAAUUUCAGUGUCUAGGAAAAACUCCGUAAGAGUUUUUAGUCUUUAAACUAGUAGGCUAUCUAACAUUCAAUUACUACUCCUUGAGGUUACCAACGAUCUUGUUUACAGCCAGGGAUAGGAAUGGAAGCUAGCUAAAGAGACGGGUACUCGGGCUAGGCCAUACAGCAUAUAACGUUGCAGAAAGCAAAGCUUACCUCCAGGUGUGGUGGAGAACAACGUGCCUCCAGGAGUUUGACUGUAUGUGUCCGGCAGCUGAGUCCAGUCUUCCGACUGCUCAAAGCGACCGGGAAUAGGACAGGUUAGCCCUAUGCUGGUGUUACAGUUAGACAUGCUACAAAACAGACGUUUAAUGCACAAUGAUUUAAAAUUAAAAUUUUAAAAAACGGGCAGGACUCGUUAUUUCUGAUCGAUAUCUUAUUUGGCUAGUGAACUGCAACUACUGAAUAACGACCAGUAGAUUUGUCCGCGGUGUCUUCUGGCGGC
Long non-coding RNA from Esox lucius (northern pike), 3573 nucleotides. NCBI's taxonomy places the organism in Eukaryota, Metazoa, Chordata, Actinopteri, Esociformes, Esocidae. The record is from Ensembl.